GUGAACGCUGGCGGUAGGCCUAACACAUGCAAGUCGAACGGCAGCACAGUAAGAGCUUGCUCUUACGGGUGGCGAGUGGCGGACGGGUGAGGAAUACAUCGGAAUCUACUUUUUCGUGGGGGAUAACGUAGGGAAACUUACGCUAAUACCGCAUACUACCUACGGGUGAAAGUAGGUGAUCUUCGGACCUUUCGCUAUUGAAUGAGCCGAUGUCGGAUUAGCUAGUUGGCGGGGUAAAGGCCCACCAAGGCGACGAUCCGUAGCUGGUCUGAGAGGAUGAUCAGCCACACUGGAACUGAGACACGGUCCAGACUCCUACGGGAGGCAGCAGUGGGGAAUAUUGGACAAUGGGCGCAAGCCUGAUCCAGCAAUACCGCGUGGGUGAAGAAGGCCUUCGGGUUGUAAAGCCCUUUUGUUGGGAAAGAAAAGCAGCAGGUUAAUACCCCGCUGUUCUGACGGUACCCAAAGAAUAAGCACCGGCUAACUUCGUG
Molecule: ribosomal RNA, 491 nt
Filed under: uncultured bacterium
Lineage: Bacteria
Description: partial 16S ribosomal RNA
Rfam family: Bacterial small subunit ribosomal RNA
Source: RNAcentral